AAGUCGUAACAAGGUUUCCGUAGGUGAACCUGCGGAAGGAUCAUUAUCGAAAUAGCAUGACGAGUUGUCGCUGGCCCCCAUGCGAGGGUUGUGCACGCUUGUUGUUCUUCAUUUCUCCAUCUCAUUUGUGCACCUCUUGUGUGGAUCAAUGUCCUUUGCGGACGAAUGGGGGGUUUGCUUUGCAAAAUACUUGCGGGCUUUCCUUGUGAUCUAUAUUUUUUUACAUAUACUCCAGUCACAUAGAAUGAUAUAUAUAUAUAUAUGGAAAUUGUUAUACAACUUUCAGCAACGGAUCUCUUGGCUCUCGCAUCGAUGAAGAACGCAGCGAAAUGCGAUAAGUAAUGUGAAUUGCAGAAUUCAGUGAAUCAUCGAAUCUUUGAACGCAUCUUGCGCUCCUUGGUAUUCCAAGGAGCAUGCCUGUUUGAGUGUCAUUUAUAUAUCUCAAUCCUGCAUCCGUGAAAAAAAGGGUGUCGGGCUUGGACUUGGGGGUUACAGGCUCUGCUAUUGCAGUCUGCUCUCCUGAAAUACAUGGAGGCCCCUCCCCUGUUUUAAAGGUGUGAUAUAUCUAUCUGCAUCUAAAAUCUUGGGGGGUGUUUGCCGCUGAGGGGGAUGGCUUGUUGAUAAACUUGACCUCAAAUCAGGUAGGACCACCCGCUGAACUUAAGCAUAUCAAUAAGCGGAGGAAAAGAAACUAACGAGGAUUCCCGUAGUAACUGCGAGUGAAGUGGGAAGAGCUCAAAUUUGUAAUCUGGCAGUCGUUGGAUUGUCCGAGUUGUAAUCUAGAGAA
RNAcentral lists this unclassified non-coding RNA (787 nucleotides) under uncultured Inocybe. Its description in RNAcentral is "sequence contains ITS1, 5.8S rRNA gene and ITS2". The stretch from base 278 to 431 matches the Rfam family "5.8S ribosomal RNA". Lineage: Eukaryota; Fungi; Basidiomycota; Agaricomycetes; Agaricales; Cortinariaceae. The record is from RNAcentral.